Molecule: ribosomal RNA, 29 nt
Filed under: uncultured Tomentella
Lineage: Eukaryota; Fungi; Basidiomycota; Agaricomycetes; Thelephorales; Thelephoraceae
Description: partial 18S ribosomal RNA
Source: RNAcentral
CGGUAGGUGAACCUGCGGAAGGAUCAUUA